GGUUGAAAGCAAGCAGCUGAUUUUAUAUCACGGCAUUUUGCUGUCAGCAGUCGAGGGCGUCAAAGAAGCGAAGACAUUUAAUUGCCGUUAAAAUCUGAAGAAACUAUCAUAAAUAUGAAAAAAAAGGUAUUGUUAAUGGGUAAAAGUGGGUCUGGGAAAACAAGCAUGCGUUCGAUCAUAUUUGCAAACUACAUAGCAAGAGAUACAACCCGUCUAGGAGCCACGAUUGACGUCGAACACUCACAUGUGCGGUUUUUGGGCAAUUUGGUUUUAAAUCUCUGGGAUUGUGGUGGCCAAGAGGGUUUUAUGCAGCAAUAUUUUGCCUCACAACGUGAUAAUAUCUUUCGCAACGUGGAGGUUUUGAUUUAUGUGUUUGACGUCGAAAGUCGUGAGUUGGAACGUGACGUACAUUAUUAUCAAUCAUGCCUCGAAGCUUUGCUGCAGAAUUCCCCGGAUGCUAAAAUUUUCUGUUUAAUUCACAAGAUGGAUCUGGUCGCCGAAGAGCAACGCGAUAGCUUAUUCAAAGAUCGUGAAGAAGAUUUAGUGCGCCUGUCAAGACCGGGUAAUGUUACUUGCUUUAGAACUAGUAUAUGGGACGAAACUUUAUACAGGGCAUGGUCUAGCAUCGUGACCAUGUUAAUACCUAAUGUUGCCGCCUUGGAAAAUUCUUUAACACAUUUUGCCAAUGUUAUAGAGGCAGACGAAGUUUUGUUGUUCGAGAAGGCCACUUUUUUAGUGAUAUCGCACUGCCAAAGUAAAAAGAAUCGCGACUCUCAUCGCUUCGAAAAAGUUUCGAAUAUCAUCAAACAGUUUAAAUUAAGCUGCAGUAAAUUGGGUGGAAAAUUUCAUUCAAUUGAAGUUCGCAAUAGCGCGUUUGCCGCUUUCAUCGAUACCUUUACAAGUAAUACGUAUGUGAUGGUAGUUAUGUCGGAUCCCACCAUACCUUCCGAAGCUACACUGGUGAAUAUACGUAAUGCACGUAAAUAUUUUGAGGAACUGGAAACUUCCAAUAAUAAUACUGUUAAUCACCAUCAGUAUCAUUAAGUUUCAACGACAAAAAGUGUUUAAAAACUUGAGUUGCAAUUAAAUAGUUUAUAGAAAGAUGUUUUUUGGGCUAUUAAAAACACUCGCUGUUCGACACGUGGCUUCGAUAGUUGAUGUGACAUCGUUGGACAUAAACCCAAACGCAAAAAUUACCUUCGAGUUUAUUCGUUUCGGAUGGACUUUUUGCUAAUAUAUGAUCGUUGCUUGAUUUUUGAUUGCGUGUGUAUCAGAUGAAUUGAUUCAUCUGAGUUUGUAUAAGCAGUCGAAUGGAGAAUGCCGAUCUCCUUUGCAAUUGCAAAGUGCUAAGAUGUUAGUCACUCUCCAACAUGGAGCCCGAAAUGCCGUCCAAAUCGACGAUCUUGUUUGAAACUGAAAUCUUCCGAACGAAAACCCCAGCGUCUUAAAUGCACCCUAUUAUAUGCAGUUUUUUCAGUCUGCGCCUUGCAUUUACAUUAUAUUCCACGAGAGUUAUGCGGUUGAAUUAAAUUCAAACUUUGUUGGGUUGAAAUUGAAAAAACCAAUUUGCAAGUCAGCGCCUUAAAUCCUAAACACACCCGUAACAGUGAAUUCAUUAAAAUUAGGAAACAAAACAAACACGCCGCGAUAGCCUAGGCAUCAGAGGCGCAUCAAAUGUAUACUAUAAAAGUAAAUUAUUAAUGCGGUAGAAAGUU
Glossina fuscipes is the source of this 1715-nucleotide RNA transcript. It is a transcript of the gene named ras-related GTP-binding protein A, with no coding region annotated. The transcript is spliced from 9 exons. The record is from RefSeq and is a predicted model, not a curated record. Lineage: Eukaryota; Metazoa; Arthropoda; Insecta; Diptera; Glossinidae.